Long non-coding RNA from Lagopus leucura (white-tailed ptarmigan), 1018 nucleotides. RefSeq lists it as uncharacterized. NCBI's taxonomy places the organism in Eukaryota, Metazoa, Chordata, Aves, Galliformes, Phasianidae. The transcript is spliced from 2 exons. The record is from RefSeq and is a predicted model, not a curated record.
GGUUCCUGUUUGGUGAAGCUUUUCCCUGUGAACCUGGAACCUUCAGAUACAGCCAUUGCUCCAGGGACUACCUGCCCACCAGCACUAUGUUAGCUCCAGUCAGCAAGUUGGAAGUCACAGACUUGACAGGCAACCAUACAGGGAGAUGGAUGUCAUUUGUUUCUUUAACUUACUGUCAGCCUGUGGCCACCUUCAUAUGUUCUCUCUGCUGAGCAGAUGGAGGUAACUGUCUGUUGUCAUGCAGUGCUUCAUUUCUCACUGACUAUCCAGUGUCUCAUGGAAAAUCUCCUCAAAGCUACUAUCUCAGAAUCUGUAAAUGUCCCAGCAGGGCUUCUUGGACAUGUCAGCAAGGUUGAGCAAUAGAUUUAUUUCUAAGAAUCGUGAACAUUGCUACUUCAUGUACCAGGGCAUAUUUGGCCCCUUCUGUGGUACCGGUGGGAUUGAAAUGGUCUCAUUCACACAACAGCCACUCUUCUCAAGAGAAUAUAAAACCUCCCAAACUGAAAAGGAAGCAAUUGACAUUUGCCAAGUUCAUGUGAAAAUGAUAAUUUAUUGUCAGGAGACAAGGAAGCCACUGGAGCAAGCUAUCCAAAGAAAGUUGUCGGAAACACUGACUCCUGAUGAGGCAGGUCAAACCUAAUCAUCUCUUUCAACUUCAACACCUAUGCAGUUAUGGUGAAACACAGGAAAGAGCUCAGAACUCUUCUUUCACUGCGAGCAAGAUACAAGCAAGAGGACAUGACCACAAGCAGUGUUACUCAGGAAGUGCCAGUUGAAUCUCCCGUCUCCUUGCAGUUUUCUCCUCACGAAUUCCCCAAUGGGCAUCAUGACUGCACUGAUCUUGAACAGAGGCUUUUAUGGCUUUGUCCAAAAUGACUGGGCAUUGUGUAGUACCCUAUGCCAAAAUCAACCUCUAGAACUUUAAUAAUUUACUGAAAAUGUGUUAAAUGUGCCCCAAGAGAAUGUGCAGCUGAGAAAAUCUCACACUCUGUGAAGCAGUAAAUUUUGCUGUAAUCAA